Molecule: long non-coding RNA, 3574 nt
Organism: Camellia sinensis
Lineage: Eukaryota; Viridiplantae; Streptophyta; Magnoliopsida; Ericales; Theaceae
Source: RefSeq, a predicted model, not a curated record
CUCUUCAAUAUUUUUAUGGCAAAUUCUCAACUAUGUGUGGGUAAUGGUAACAGAGUUCACUUUUGGAUUGAUAGGUGGGUGGGUAAUCUGUCUAUUAAGGCUUUGUUCCCUAGGUUAUUUAGUCUAUCUUCAGAAAAGGAGAUCACUCUGAGAGUGGUGCUGGAUAGGAGGGUCGAUCAGUCAGAUGGUUUUCUCAGGUUAGAAGAGCCUUGCUGAGUUGGGAAUCAGAUGAGUUGAUUAGUUUGGGGGCUUUUUUGAACUCUGUUGGGUCUGGAUCUUCAGAGAGAGAUGACUGUCUUCAGUGGCUGGCCAAAUAAUUCUGGGCAGUUUUCGGUCUCGUCCCUGUAUUCUUUGUUGAUGCCUUUCACUCCUCUAUUGGUUUCUAAGUUAAUUUGGAACAAUAUUUACCCCCCAAAAGUGCAAUUUUUUGGUUGGUUGGCGUGGAAGGGGAGACUUACAACUUGUUCAUUUUUGCAAAGAAUUGGGGUUUCAGGUCCUGAGGCUUCGGUCCUAUGCAUAUUCUGCAGGAGGGACGUGGAGUCAGUGUCCCAUAUUUUACUGUGGUGUCCUUUUGCUUGGAGGGUGUGGUCUUGUUUACUGCAAUGGUGGGGGCUGCAUUGGGUUAUACCUCGGAAUGUGGAGGAACUUCUUGGCUGGUGGAGUGGUUUUAGGUGAGGUAAAUUUGCAAAUUUGAUUUGGCAAGCUAUACCAUUGGCUGUAUUGUGGUCAUUAUGGAAGCUCAGGAAUGAGGUUGUGUUCCAAAAUAAGCAAGCAAAUCUGGUGGAAGUGUGUGAUUUGAUCAAACUCAGAAUUGCCAUUUGGGUUAAGGCUCAUUCCAGUGAGGGGUUUUACUCUGUGUAGGAAAUUGUUAAUAACGUCCAGCAGUUUAGAGGUCAUUCUUAAUGUCUUCGUAUUGGAUGCUUGCUGGGUGUUCUGAUGAUUGAUUAUUGCUGGAUGGUUGUAUCUAGAUGCUGGUUCUGAUGUAUAUUGUUGUCGGUGUUGAAGCUUGAAGGGCAAUUUGAUUGUUGAUGUUGCUGGGUUUGUUAUCUGAUAUGGCAGGUAAUCUUGUUAUCUGAUAUGUAGGGCAAUCUGUUGUUGCUGUGGUGGUAGUAAUCUGUUAUGGCAGGUGUUAUCUGUGGCAUUAUGGUGGCAGUGUUCUGGGUUGCCAUGUGCUGGUUUGUUGCUGGUGUGGGAAGCUCUAUGCUGGUGUUUGUUGUUUUGCACGAUGCUGCUGGUUUGCUGUCUUGUGUAGUAGAAAUGUGCUUGGUGCUCUCAUCAGUCUGUCAACAGUCUUAAUGCUGAUAUCUGGUGUUGCUAUCUGAUAUCUGGUGUUGCUUGUUGAUAUCUUGGGUGUUAAAUACCUAGUGCAUUUUAGUGUGGCUAGGUGAUAGUUGGUGUAUGUCCUAGAAAGUGCCGGUAGAGUCUUCAGGGGUAGGUGUUGGUAGAGUUGGUAGGUUGAUUAUGCUGCCAUGUUGUGAUGGUGGUGGAGCUUCUUGUAGGUGUGGCCUUUCCAGUUUCUUUUUUGUUUGAUUGGUAUCUCGCCAAUCAGUGGGUUUAGUGCUUACAUAUGACUGUGCUUCCUCCUUGGUGCCAACCUAGUUGGGAUUGUGGAGUGAUGAUAGCUAUGAUGUUUUUGCACUUCCCUCUUUUUUGAUGUAUUUUGGUACUUGUUCUUGGUCUUUUCAUCAAUAAUAGUUUCCUUUUUCUUUGCUGAAAAAAAAAAAAAAAAAAAGCAUGCACUCUUGUAGUUUGGGCAUAUCUAGGUGCUUGCCCUACUGGUAACUGCUUAUCACACGUUGUCUGGGGUACUCUGUGGAGUUUGGUGGGUCAUAAGGGAAUACUAUUGAGGGGUUGGAUGUACCGAGGCCCUCACCGUGCCCACAACCAUCUACUUUAGCUUAGUAGAAGAUUGUCUGAUGAGAGAAUUGGAAAGAGACUUAUGACACAUGUUCUCCUCUCAUGGGAACAACUCAUUGAUUUUCUCUUGUUUGGAGAUAUAGGCUGUGAGUGUAAAAGAUAAUACUUGGGAAAUGGGUUUCUAUCGAAGAAAGAACAUACUGCACAGUAAAAUUCUUCAACAUUGAUAACGUGUCCUUUUGGUGAAUAUAGCUCGAGGGGGUCUCUUGGACUGUGAAGCUAUUCUUUAUCACCUUAAAUCUGGCCACUUGGGAGGCUUAGGCAUGGAUGUUGCUUGGACAGAGCCAUUUGAUCCUGAGCAUCCAAUUUUGAAGUUCCCAAAUGUCCUAAUAACGCCCCAUGUUGCAGGGGUCACUGAAGAUGCUGUUAGAUCCACGGCUAAGGGACCUUGUGGAGAUCAGAGACAGCUCUUACAAUUGGCCACUCACCUUCAGGAGACAUCUAUUUGAAUGGGAAAAAGAGGAGCUACUCAGAAUUAAUGGAAUUUUAAGAGGAGCACCUACAUUUAAUCUUCAGGUUAAUGAUUUGGCUCUUUGGUCUGCUGCUAAACCUUGUCAGACCCUUGUUUCUAUUUUCUACAACCAUACCAACCUUGCUCUUGGGCCUAAUGUCAUCUUCAGUAGAUGGGUGUGGAUUAAUUAUCUUCCUCCCAAAGUGCAAUUCUUUGGCUGGCUUGCAUGGAGAAAUAAGGUUAAAACAUUAGUUUUCCUACAGCAGCUUGGAAUUUUGGACAGAGAUUCUUCUACCUUGUGUACUUUCUGCAAGUCCCAGCAAGAAUCAAUUGAACAUGUGCUGAUUUUCUGCCCCAUGGUAUGGAGAGUUUGGUCUGAGUUACUGCAAUGGUGGGGGGUUGUUUGGGUAGUCCCUAGGUCUAUUCAAGGACUGUUUCAGUGGUAGGCUGGGCAUAGCUGUACAUUUGAAGAAAGGAGAAUUUAGAGUGCAAUUCCUCUGGUGACUUUCUGGUCAUUGUGGAAACACACAAAUGAGAGUCUCUUCCAAGGCUCACAAUCACAGCUUCAGGAUCUUCAUGAACUCAUUAUCACCAGAUUAGCCUUCUGGUAUAAAGCUGCAUCCAAGAGAUGUCUAUUUUCAAUUAGUGACUUCCUUUUCAGCUUCCCACAAAUCAGAUAUUGCCUUGGUGCUAGGUCCGAGUAGUCAUCUUGCAUUUUGAAGUCCAGUUGCAGUCAAUGUCUUAACAGCAACUUCCUUUGCUUGCUGUUCUGAUGCUGAUCUACUGGUGCUGAUCUACUGGUGCUGAUCUAUUAGCUCUGCUCUUGGUGCUGUUCUUCUAGGCCUGAUCUGUCUUGCUCUGAUCUGAUCUGUUAUGCUUUGUUCUGAUCUGUUUUGCUCUGUCUUGGUGCUGCAAUUCUGGGCCUGUUCUGAUCUGUCUUGGUGCUGCAUUUCUGGGCCUAUUCUCUUAUGUUUUGCUUUGUUUUGUUUUGUUGGUUGCUCACCAACCGGAGCUUGGAGCUUGUGCUAGCUCCAAGCUCCUCUUUAUUGAUGUUUUUCUCAUACUAUGUAUGCUUUCAUCAAUAAAGAUCUCUCUCGUUGUUCAAAAAAAAAUAAAUGACAAGCAUUCUGUGUCAGACAUGGUUACAAGUUCUAGUUAAAAUUAAUACGAAAACAAUCGACAGAUUUUACAUAGUUUGCUUAGAAA